CCCUUAGAUGUUCUUGGCCGCACGCGCGCUACACUGAUGCAUUCAACGAGUUUCUUCCUGGUCCGAGAGGAAUGGGUAACCUUUUGAAAGUGCAUCGUGAUAGGGAUAGACUAUUGCAAUUAUUGGUCUUCAACGAGGAAUUCCUAGUAGACGUAGUUCAUCAGACUGCAUCGAUUACGUCCCUGCCCUUUGUACACACCGCCCGUCGCUCCUACCGAUUGAAUGCUCAGGUGAGCCAUUCGGACCUUCAUCAUGCCGGUUUCCGGUUUUGAUGAGGGAAAGUCUUGCGAACCUUAUCAUUUAGAGGAAGGAGAAGUCGUAACA
Molecule: ribosomal RNA, 324 nt
Filed under: uncultured eukaryote
Lineage: Eukaryota
Description: partial 18S ribosomal RNA
Rfam family: Eukaryotic small subunit ribosomal RNA
Source: RNAcentral